UAAUUCCUGCCGGGUUCGACAACUUUAGUGCAUAUAACCCAACACACUUUUUUAAGGGAGCCGAAUUUUAGAGUAACGGGGAGCAGACCUCCCGCUUUUGCGGACGAAGGGAGCACGAAAUUACUCCGGCGGCACCCACCUGCUUUUUAGGCAGGUUAUAAUCCACUAAUCCCGGCUCGGCGGGGAAACA
Molecule: non-coding RNA, 190 nt
Filed under: Clostridia bacterium
Lineage: Bacteria; Bacillati; Bacillota; Clostridia
Description: 6S RNA
Rfam family: 6S / SsrS RNA
About the family: E. coli 6S RNA was the first non coding RNA to be sequenced, but its function was unknown until recently. It consists of 184 nucleotides that fold into an extended hairpin structure with a large single-stranded internal bulge.
Source: RNAcentral